UUUUAGCCCCGAUAGAAACGGUUACCCCGCAGCCAGAUUUGGCCUGUUUAGCUUGGGCGCGAGGAGUAAAAGUGGAUAGCGGGAAUCAGC
Molecule: small RNA, 90 nt
Filed under: Chryseobacterium sp. YR221
Lineage: Bacteria; Pseudomonadati; Bacteroidota; Flavobacteriia; Flavobacteriales; Weeksellaceae
Description: Flavo-1 RNA
Rfam family: Flavo-1 RNA
Source: RNAcentral